This 2445-nucleotide ribosomal RNA is filed under the name Streptococcus pneumoniae. Its description in RNAcentral is "partial 23S ribosomal RNA". It matches the Rfam family "Bacterial large subunit ribosomal RNA", at positions 466 to 2925 of the family's 2925-position model. The record is from RNAcentral. Lineage: Bacteria; Bacillati; Bacillota; Bacilli; Lactobacillales; Streptococcaceae.
CUAAAUACUCCCUAGUGACCGAUAGUGAACCAGUACCGUGAGGGAAAGGUGAAAAGCACCCCGGGAGGGGAGUGAAAUAGAACCUGAAACCGUGUGCCUACAACAAGUUCGAGCCCGUUAAUGGGUGAGAGCGUGCCUUUUGUAGAAUGAACCGGCGAGUUACGUUAUGAUGCGAGGUUAAGUUGAAGAGACGGAGCCGUAGGGAAACCGAGUCUGAAUAGGGCGCCUUAGUAUCAUGACGUAGACCCGAAACCAUGUGACCUACCCAUGAGCAGGUUGAAGGUGCGGUAAGACGCACUGGAGGACCGAACCAGGGCACGUUGAAAAGUGCUUGGAUGACUUGUGGGUAGCGGAGAAAUUCCAAACGAACUUGGAGAUAGCUGGUUCUCUCCGAAAUAGCUUUAGGGCUAGCGUCGACAUUAGAGAUUCUUGGAGGUAGAGCACUGUUUGGGUGAGGGGUCCAUCCCGGAUUACCAAUCUCAGAUAAACUCCGAAUGCCAAUGAAUUAUGGUCGGCAGUCAGACUGCGAGUGCUAAGAUCCGUAGUCGAAAGGGAAACAGCCCAGACCACCAGCUAAGGUCCCAAAAUAAUUGUUAAGUGGAAAAGGAUGUGGGGUUGCACAGACAACUAGGAUGUUAGCUUAGAAGCAGCUAUUCAUUCAAAGAGUGCGUAAUAGCUCACUAGUCGAGUGACCCUGCGCCGAAAAUGUACCGGGGCUAAAACAAUUUACCGAAGCUGUGGAUACCUUUAUAGGUAUGGUAGGAGAGCGUUCUAUGUGUGAUGAAGGUAUACCGUGAGGAGUGCUGGAACGCAUAGAAGUGAGAAUGCCGGUAUGAGUAGCGAAAGACAGGUGAGAAUCCUGUCCACCGUAAGACUAAGGUUUCCAGGGGAAGGCUCGUCCGCCCUGGGUUAGUCGGGACCUAAGGAGAGACCGAAAGGUGUAUCCGAUGGACAACAGGUUGAUAUUCCUGUACUAGAGUAUGUAGUGAUGGAGGGACGCAGUAGGCUAACUAAAGCAGACGAUUGGAAGAGUCUGUCUAAGCAGUGAGGUGUGAAUUGAGUCAAAUGCUUAAUUCUAUAACAUUGAGCUGUGAUGGGGAGCGAAGUUUAGUAGCGAAGUUAGUGACGUCACACUGCCAAGAAAAGCUUCUAGCGUUUAAACAUACUCUACCCGUACCGCAAACCGACACAGGUAGUCGAGGCGAGUAGCCUCAGGUGAGCGAGAGAACUCUCGUUAAGGAACUCGGCAAAAUGACCCCGUAACUUCGGGAGAAGGGGUGCUGACUUAAAGUCAGCCGCAGUGAAUAGGCCCAAGCAACUGUUUAUCAAAAACACAGCUCUCUGCUAAAUCGUAAGAUGAUGUAUAGGGGGUGACGCCUGCCCGGUGCUGGAAGGUUAAGAGGAGUGCUUAGCGUAAGCGAAGGUAUGAAUUGAAGCCCCAGUAAACGGCGGCCGUAACUAUAACGGUCCUAAGGUAGCGAAAUUCCUUGUCGGGUAAGUUCCGACCCGCACGAAAGGCGUAAUGAUUUGGGCACUGUCUCAACGAGAGACUCGGUGAAAUUUUAGUACCUGUGAAGAUGCAGGUUACCCGCGACAGGACGGAAAGACCCCAUGGAGCUUUACUGCAGUUUGAUAUUGAGUGUCUGUACCACAUGUACAGGAUAGGUAGGAGUCUAAGAGAUCGGGACGCCAGUUUCGAAGGAGACGCUGUUGGGAUACUACCCUUGUGUUAUGGCCACUCUAACCCAGAUAGGUGAUCCCUAUCGGAGACAGUGUCUGACGGGCAGUUUGACUGGGGCGGUCGCCUCCUAAAAGGUAACGGAGGCGCCCAAAGGUUCCCUCAGAAUGGUUGGAAAUCAUUCGCAGAGUGUAAAGGUAUAAGGGAGCUUGACUGCGAGAGCUACAACUCGAGCAGGGACGAAAGUCGGGCUUAGUGAUCCGGUGGUUCCGUAUGGAAGGGCCAUCGCUCAACGGAUAAAAGCUACCCUGGGGAUAACAGGCUUAUCUCCCCCAAGAGUUCACAUCGACGGGGAGGUUUGGCACCUCGAUGUCGGCUCGUCGCAUCCUGGGGCUGUAGUCGGUCCCAAGGGUUGGGCUGUUCGCCCAUUAAAGCGGCACGCGAGCUGGGUUCAGAACGUCGUGAGACAGUUCGGUCCCUAUCCGUCGCGGGCGUAGGAAAUUUGAGAGGAUCUGCUCCUAGUACGAGAGGACCAGAGUGGACUUACCGCUGGUGUACCAGUUGUCUUGCCAAAGGCAUCGCUGGGUAGCUAUGUAGGGAAGGGAUAAACGCUGAAAGCAUCUAAGUGUGAAACCCACCUCAAGAUGAGAUUUCCCAUGAUUAUAUAUCAGUAAGAGCCCUGAGAGAUGAUCAGGUAGAUAGGUUAGAAGUGGAAGUGUGGCGACACAUGUAGCGGACUAAUACUAAUAGCUCGAGGACUUAUCCAA